Molecule: ribosomal RNA, 28 nt
Filed under: Meloidogyne hapla
Lineage: Eukaryota; Metazoa; Nematoda; Chromadorea; Rhabditida; Meloidogynidae
Source: RNAcentral
GGGACUUACGCCGGUAUGGUCGUAUCAU